This 1906-nucleotide small RNA is filed under the name Oryza sativa Japonica Group (Japanese rice). Its description in RNAcentral is "sRNA Os06g0499200". Lineage: Eukaryota; Viridiplantae; Streptophyta; Magnoliopsida; Poales; Poaceae. The record is from RNAcentral.
UAAUAUUUCAAAAUGUUAGUGGAAGAACUGCUCAUGUGCAAGAAUUAUUCUGAAUAUCUAUAUGGAUGUAACUAGUUAUUGUAAGAUGUAAGUACUUACCUGAGGAAUAGUGUUAUUGGAGAUAAAUUGUUCAUUAUUACAGAUCCUAGCUGCAAUAUAGAUUUCGCACGGAAACACAGUGUGGUACAAAGAUUUAUUUUGUAUGCUUCAGUACUUCCUAAAUAUCAAAUGAUUUUGGAUUGCAGUGAUUUCGAACUUGCUUGCCUCUGUUAUUUGUUUCGUUGUUAACAACAUGCUUGAAAUUUGUUUUGUGGUUCUUAUAAUAUUCCCAAUAUAUUGAAAUUUGUGCUACCCUGACAUGCCCUUUUGUGGUAAUUCAUCAACUUUUUACAGAGAAUUCUCAUCUUUAAAUAAGAGGAUAAUUUCUGUUUGUGAAACUUUUUGCAUCCAUAGAUUAUUAAUUUCUGCUUGAUAUAUAUGAGAACAGCAUCAGAUAAAACAACAAAGUCGGUAGUAUCUGCUGAAUUUUGAUAUCUGAAGUAGAUCAAAUUUAUCUACUGCUGUAUUGCGUGCUUGCCUAGAUUAGUUUAAAGCACCAUUUGGUGCGUGCAGAUCUCUAUUCUCGCUAAUCGCUAUCUUUCAUUGCUUUAGCAGAACAUUUAUUUUACUAUAAAUAGGCUGCUCUGGCAGUUUUGCAUAUAUGCUAGAAUUACCAAGACAUUGCUGUGAUCCAGUACUAGUUCUAACAUACUACUUAAUUAGAGCCUGAUCCUUCUGCAUCACUAGCCUUCAUUGAGAAAUCAUCUUUUGUGCUAUGCCAAACUAUUGACCGUUAAUGAGAUUGUAGUUUCUUGUUUUCACAUAGUAGAUAUUCUUUCUGAAAACUUGAAAAUGUACCAAUUAUUUAUAGGUAUUUAUUGAGUUGUUUGUGCAGGGUGAAAAUAACAUGAACUGCUUUAUUGUGUGUAUAUGAUUCUUUCCUUUAAUCAUGUGCUCGUGAUUUGAUGUGGUCGACACUGAUUGUAGAAUGGCUCAAAAAGAUGGCCUGAGCGAUCUUAGAAAUUUGUCUCCUCAUGUUCUUGUGAGAGGCAGUUUUCCUUCUGUGCAAAACAUGAUUGCUUCAUAUUUCCAACACGCUGCUCUGUCUUUGCAGGCCAUACUUAACAUGUGUGACAAUAUUGGCGGUACCUUAAUCGACAUGAAUGGACCUCUGCCUAUGGCAUACUAAAUGAUCAUGGUGGCACUGCACAUAAUGAACUGCCACGGUUUGCCUUCAGCGGCGUCGUCUACUCAUCUGUGUGCUUCUUGUGAGUUGUGAAGCAUCCAUCCUGACAUUGCGCCAUAUUUCGCAUUGUGGUUAUUAGUAAUAUAGAAGAAAAAAGGGGUCGCAGCUCGUGCAUACAGCAUUCGGAGGAGCAAGGUUAAACCGUUCGAUGGAAUCAUCAUGGAAAUUACCAGCUUUCUGUAUCAUCAUGGAAAUUACCAGCUUUCUGAAUAAGCAGAACAUGAAGUCUACAGUUGUACGGUGUACUUCAUAAAGUCAGAAGCUGCGUAUCGUUUGUUAGGUACAGUGCCAUGUCGAGGCAUUUACUAAGAAGUGGCCCAGGUCAACACUGAUGAGAGCUUUCUUGAAAAGUGGAAACGCGAUGGUUACUCCUUGGCCAAAGGACCGUUCUUCCAUUUCCAUCACAAGAACGGCGCCAACCAUGGAGAUUUAGCUCUCGAGUCAUGUGGACUGCCGUCCAUUUUACAAUGGACGGCGAGCCCUUCGUCGAUGCCUUCUGUGGUCUGAAAUACUUCAUGCCCUGUCAGGUUCCCCAAAUUAUCUGAAUUUUGGCUGUGUACGAUCCGUUUUGGAUGUAGAGACCGGUUUAACCCAUUUCUUUAAAAAAACUGAAUUUUGAUU